RNAcentral lists this ribosomal RNA (279 nucleotides) under uncultured bacterium. RNAcentral's name for it is "partial 16S ribosomal RNA". It matches the Rfam family "Bacterial small subunit ribosomal RNA", at positions 506 to 784 of the family's 1533-position model. The record is from RNAcentral.
UGCCAGCCGCCGCGGUAAUACGGGGGAUGCAAGCGUUAAUCGGAAUUACUGGGCGUAAAGCGCGCGUAGGUGGUCUGUUAAGUCGGAUGUGAAAGCCCCGGGCUCAACCUGGGAACUGCAUUCGAUACUGGCAGACUAGAGUGCGGGAGAGGGAGGUAGAAUUCCAUGUGUAGCGGUGAAAUGCGUAGAUAUGUGGAGGAAUACCAGUGGCGAAGGCGGCUCACUGGCUCGAUACUGACGCUGAGGUGCGAAAGCGUGGGGAGCAAACAGGAUUAGAUA